Long non-coding RNA from Homo sapiens (human), 857 nucleotides. Ensembl annotates it as C2CD5 antisense RNA 1. Its record names the gene C2CD5-AS1. The record is from Ensembl. NCBI's taxonomy places the organism in Eukaryota, Metazoa, Chordata, Mammalia, Primates, Hominidae.
AAUAGCUGCAUAGCCGACUGAGGGCUGGAAUCAGCUGAAAUUCACUCUCUCACGUCUGACAGCAAGGCUGCUGUGUGCUGAGACCGUCGCUGGGGCUGACAGCCGCUUUAUGUGUUCUCUUCACAUAAGCCAGCUUGAGCUUCUUGAAAACAUGAUGGAUAGCUUUCCAAGAAGAUCAAACUCUCCCAAAAAGUAGAGAUUAAACAACAACUAAAGAUGGCGAAUCAUAGAAGUUACCACCAUUCCUGGUAUUGGUCCCAGUUCUUCUAAGAAUAUUUUUGAUGCAAGAGCUGUUUUAUCUUGAAUCCUACAUAGCUUAUUUUCCAUUUUUCCAUUCAAAUAAAACAACAAGAGAACAAUAGAGUGAAGAAAAAGGAUGUUUAAGCCUAAAUCCAAGACUGAGGUACAAGACCAAGAAAAGUGGGGCAGAAGAUGGAAAAGAACAAGUGAAGAAUCUUGGAAACAAUUCAAAGGCCAACCCUGCUUAUUCCUGUAAACCAACCAGUGAUCUCUGGCUGCUGCUUAGAAGAAACAAGAGGGAUGGCUAAUUAAACAGGUUGAAGUAAAGGAGCCAGCCCAAACCCACCAAAACCAAAAUGGUGACGAGAGUGACAUCUGGUCGUCCUCACUGCUACACUCCCACCAGCACCACGACAGUUUACAAAUUCUAUGACAAUGUCAGGAAGUUACCCUAUGUGGUCUAAAAAGAGGAGGCAUGAAUAAUCCACCCCUUGUUUAGCAUAUCAUCAAGAAAUAACCAUAAAAAUAGGCAAUCUGCAGCCCCCAGGCUGCUCUGUCUAUGGAGUAGCUGUUCUUUUUUUCUUUUACUUUCUUAAUAAACUUCCUUUCACUUUGCA